GUUUUAUUAAGACUCGGUCAAGAGUUUAAAUAGCUAAGCUUUGGUAAAGGAGCGGUUUAUGUGCUUGAGUGUUUCUGUGUGUGUGAUUUGAUUUAUUAUAAGCCGGCAUUUAUUUUAAGAACUUUGUGAUUUAAUUACAUCUGUAUUUUGUGCUUUUGUCUGUGUAUGUCUUGUUGGGUACCAUAUAUGUUAAUUGUAAUCUAUACAAUUUGUAUCGUUACUCUCCUAUUCUAUCUUUUGUCCUAAGGAGAGCUGUGCUUAGGCAAUCACAUGGUUAAAAAACUUUGUGCUUGCAAGUCUUCCUCCCUCCUCCCCCCUCCUUCUUUGUUGCUUUCUCUUGCUCUGACUGCUAUGAGUAUUGGCUACAGGGGGGUGAAUGGGUGAAAUGCUUGUAAACUCAGUGAGGAAUGUGAGGGAAACAAGGUAUAUUUGCUGGACGAAUAACCUAGUUAGGAACUUUGUGUAAUCUUGUAUAUGUUGUUAAGCAAGAGGUUAUUGGCAUGUUGGAAUAAGGAAAGUUAGAUUUUGUUGGAACAAAUGAAUUGUGGAAUUUAUAAAUGAUAUCGCAGAGAAAAGUAAAUUGCAGUUUGCAUUUAAUAGCAGCUAUUCAGAUGCUGUUUUGUGGCAAUCUUUAUACACACAAUGUGAAAUUGCCAAUAGUGAAAUUGACAAGAAAUUGUUUGUUAAUAAGAAAAAAAAAACAAAAGAUCAGAAAUGUUAUGAAACUAGUCUGUACUUACAAUGCAUUGAUUUGUAAACGAAAUGCAGAUCAAGAAAAUUUAGAAUCAUCAGAAAAAGAAGUAGAUUUGAAUGGGUUAACAGAAGACAAAUCAGAUUUAAAUGAACAGUGUAACAAUGUAACAGAGAGCACAUUGUCAGAAACAGUUUGUGAAUUAGAGGAUAGAGUUGAACUAAGAAAUGAUCUUAUUUGCCAGCUUAGAAAUGAAGUAAAGCUAGUGUGUGUUAAUACAAGAAAAAUACAGGCACAGAAUCUAAUCCCAGAACCAAUAGAUACUGAAAAUGUAUCCUCACAGAGUGAUUUGCAGAAAUAUAAAUUUCAAGACAGAGCUGCAAAACUUAAUUUGAAGAUCCAUGAACAAUUAAUGAAAAUUGUGAAAUGUAUUCCAGUUUAUGACACGUCAGUGGAUGCAUUCACUAAUGCUGAAAUGUUUGAGUCUAAUUUAGACAAAUACAGCCUAAAUGACGAACAAAGGAAUAGACUAUUUCAAAUAUGGCUGCCGACUCAAAUGGCAUGUAGGCUGACCGCGAUUGUAAAAUUUGAGGACAAUGGUGAAAUAAUAUAUGGAAAUAAGCGAGACAGAUUAACACAAUUAAUAAAAUUAACAACAGGGAAUGAUUUUGCAGACACUGAAAUGUUGGAAAAACUAAAACCACACAAGGGGGAGGAUAUAUUUAGUUUUCUUGUAAAAUUUGAAAAUGCAUAUAGACUUGUUGCUGAUUUUUCUGAAGAUCAGUUAAUUAAUGAAUUUGUGAAAAAAUUUCAAGAUCUAGAUCCAACUGCAAUUGUGGUAGCUAGAGAAAAAAGCACUUUGACAGAAGUAGCUUUGUUCUUGGAUAACUUAAGGAGGGAAACCAAGAAUGAAGGGGUUAAAACGACUUGUGGCUUUAGGCAGAGAAAGAAGUGCAGAUGUUACAGCCCCCGUCCCCCUUCUUCUUCUUCUUCUUCUUCUAGGACAGAGUGUAGAGUGAUACAGACAGCUGAGCCCCUCCCAAUUUAUUCAACUAAAUAUAGGGCAGUUGAUAAUAUAGGGCAGAAUAUAACUCCUAAAGUUAUUUGUUUUUGGUGCAAUAAACAACAUUAUUUAAGAUCUUGCAGAUAUUUUAUCCGAGAUAUCAAAUCAAAAGCAAAUGAGAAAUUAAAUUUGUUGAUUGAAAAUUUUGACAGAGAAAAUACAUGUGGAGAUAAAUCAAUUAAAGCCUUUCCUUGUAAACUUAUAAUCAGACAAAUAAAAGCAAUUUUAGCUAAAUCGAAAUUAGGGGACAGACAAGCAAUGCAGCGUAACACAGAAAGUUAUAAGAAUCAGAUAACUUCAAGAGAUAUGAUCAGUUUAGGGAAUGAGCAUGGAUAUGUCUGCCAACAGAGGUACACAGGCUGAUUCCAGAAUUAAGAACAGCCAAGAAUAGAGUUCUAUGUUAGUUUGUUUUAAUGAAAUGUUAGUCUGAACUGUUUUUUUUCAUUGUUUUAUAUGUAUUUUAAGAAAGUAUUAGGUUAAUUAAUUAAAAUAAAAAUGUACAUCAAGUUUGCAAAUAUGGCAGAAUGAAAUACACUAAUGUAGCAGUGAGGAACAUGCAAUGUAUGUUAUAUUGGGUGUAUGCAAUUAUACAGUAACUCCAAUCAUUUUACAGAAGGUAAAAACAAUGUUGUUACUUCUGAGGUUGAUUUAAAAUCUUUGAUUUAAUUAAUGAGAAUGAGAUUUUACUAUCAUGACUGAUAAUGGAUUACUGUAUAUUGCAACGCCUGGACAUACACAUGGUUUGGAUAUACUGAAGACAAAAGGAAUAAUAUAUGGGAAUGGAUAAGGCUGAUUUCCCCCUAUCCACAGCCACGCCUACUCCUAAAGUAACAUCGCGUACAUCCUUACUAUGCCCUUUUACUGUAGAAUUUCCCGAAUCCUAAUGACCCAUUCCACUACAUGGUGUGACUUGUUUAAGCCUAAGAUAAAUUGGCUGAUCAGGCUACCUGUAUUAACAAUGUCAUCAACGAUGAGUUAGCAUCUGUGGAGAAGCAUCACUUCAGGUUGUCCCAAAUUUUCUUUUAACUUAAGUUUUAGUACAUAGUAAGGCCCAUGCCCAAUAACUAUAUGCAGCCUUGUAUAGCAGGCCACAUGACAUCUAUUUGUACCAAGCAAGGCCUGCCUGACUCCUCAUUCCUGUCUAACAUUGUUGUCUCCUGCAUAAGUGUAGAUGGCUCUCCUUGGAGUAGCCUGUUAACUAAGCCUUGCUUUGUGGAUACCUUCACCUGUCCAAUUAAUCUGCUAGGUGCAGAUGUCCUUCCCCCACUUGCAGGCCCCUAUCACCUUAUUAUUUAUUUUGUUCCACACAGUGAAACCUGACCAAGAGGCAAGGGUCCUAGCUAGUUCCCCCAAUACCUUUACCUGAAUUAUACAGGCCCCAAAGCCUGUCCAAGCUCUUACUAUUCCCUAACAGGUUAAGGCUCUGGUGUCGAAUGUUGCCCUGGUUACCUGAGACUUUCCAUGCAAUAUCCCACCUCUCCUUGUGAUGGACGAAUUCUGUGCAGGAUAAUGUCACCCUGCAGGGAUGAUACUCUAUUUACCUGGCCACUCUUCUGCCACUUCCCAAGGGGGGAAAUGAUAAGACACUGACUAUUAUUUUUUUUUUUAGCCUUUUUCUUAUGUUCUGUUCCGGAUUUGCUGUCACUACAGUGGACCAAGUAUCUCACCUCAACAAUGUCUGCACAAGAAGCUGAGCUAUAGACUCCCAUCACACCAUGCAAGAUCUCUGAAGGAAGACUGAACUCAGAGGAAGCAUGUGGCAGCUCUCUGGCUGACUAAGUUGUUCAAAAAGUUGUAAGUGCACUAAGGGAAGUGGACAGAAAAGUGUCUGCUGAAGAAACUCCCAUAUUCACCAUGUAAGAUCCUACCCACAGACAUCAAGCUCCCGAAGGAAUAACAAGCAAGCUACUGACCCUGGAAAGAAAGAAAACAAACAAACCACAAGCUGGAAACAGAAAGGGGCAACUCUUAAAGACAGGCUGUACUUCAACAAUCUCAAGUUAUACUUGCCCAAGAACAUAUACUCAGCAGUGGUCCAGUGGGCCUACGGAGCAUCUGUCCAGAACCCUCAUGAACUCUUUUGAUCAAUAAAUACUCUGAAGUACCAGGAAUUGAAUCUCUGACCAACAGUUACUGUAAAUCUUGUGCCAUUUGUGCCAAGGGCAACUCAAGAAGAAUGGAUGAAAGCCCCAAGCAUCUAGCCAAACCUCAUUAUCUCUUCCAGAGGAGUCAAGUCGCCAGAAUGCCAAAGAAUGGCUGAUUCAAAUAUGCACUAAUUAUAGCAGACAUGUUUUCAGGAUGGCCAGAGGCCUAUCCAGCCACCAAAGUGAUAACCAAGACCACAUGCUGAGUAGUGCACCGUGAAAGAUACAGAGAUCACCCCGUGGGUUCAUCAUUCCAGAAUCAAGCCUGCCUCUGCAUCAUGUGAAGUAACAUUUGUUGAUCUUGACAACCCUUUUUGAAACUCCAUUCUUAGAGAACAAAGAUACUUGUUGAAAAUAAAUAAAUAAAUAUCAACAAGUGGGUGUUUUGAUGGCCAUAAUAAUGCCUGACCACCUGCCAUCGAUGGAAAGCUGAAUACCCCAAAAGGGGACCUCGUGAAACUAAAGAGAAACAAACAUACUCCUUACCCUGCAGCCCUCACGUCUGAGGUGCCAUACGCACAGUCAAAGCUUCUUCAAGAUCAUCUGCUUAUCUUGAGUUUGUGGUGAUAUUAAUAUUGAAUGUUUAAAUGAUCUGAAUCUGCCAGUACUAGGGUAGCAUGAGACAAGAUUUCUAAGAAUAAGUAAAUGUGCCCUAGCCUAGGUUAUUAUGUCCAUACACAUAACACAUGACAAUCCCCAAGGUACUCUUGACACACCUCAUUCAUGCUUCAGGACAAAAAGGAGUACCCCUAUAAAGGGUGGUUUUACCCACACAUAUAUAUAUAUAUGUAUAUUAAUGCCAUAGGGGUGUCAAGGGGGGUACCAAAUAAUUUUAAGGUAAGAAACUAAGUUUGAAUCUAUUCUCCCAAGCAUUACGGCUAAUAAAAUCUGAAUUGGAAGGGAAGAGGUUUAUACAAUAAACAGGAGACCUUUUUCUUACAGGACAUGUAUGACUCAGCUGAAUGGGUAGGUGCCACGCACAUGACUGUUAAUCCCCUCAAACCACACAUUAGGACUUUAAAAGACAUGGUAGUCAUCCCAUAUUUGAGGAUAAGAGGGCUGUAGAGACAGGUUUCUCUGACACUAACUUGUGACUUGAAUGGAUGAAAUACAAUGCUACUAAACAUAACAAGUCUAACUGCUAUGUCUGCAGAGGAGCGAGGCCUCACCCAGGUACAGUAUCCCUGAACCUUCCUCCGGAUAUGAAGUAUGCGUUUUAAGUCUCUACACUGUAUUUAAACCUAAGCGGUCAGCAUGCGAGUCAUGGAAACUUAAUACCCAAUCAUUACUAAAAAUAUUAACCCAGACGAAGGCAUUACUAUAUAGCCCGGGAACUAUACUUGUUAUGGGAUAUAUGGUGGGAUAGGGCGGUUACAAACUAUCUCUCAGAUGACCUUCCAGAAUAGAAUAAGCUUGGAAAUGAUUUUAGCAGAAAAAGGGAGAGUAUGUAAAAUACUCCCAGACACCAUGACAUGCUGUACCUAUAUUCCAGAUAAUACAGGCCCUAAUGGUAAGGUAACGUUGGCAAUAGAAAAGUUAAAGAGUUUGUCCAAUGAACUGAAACGAAAUUCUGGGGCCACAGAUCCAUGGGAAAGAUGGUUUGGAUGGAUGUCUGAAUGGCAAGGUGCUCUGGCCCAAAUAGGUGUUGCCAUUUUAAUAACGAUAAUCAUCCUCGCUCUUCUUGUUUGUUGUGUGUUACCCUGUCUUAAGAAAUGCCUACAAAAAACAGUUGAUCAGGCAAUCGACCAGACCACCCCGACCUUCCUUCACCAAGAGAUUGACGAUAUCGACCGUGAUACACCACAUACACCCUUACAGUCCCACCGCACUAAAUCAACAGCUACUUCCUCUUAAGGACAUUUAGGGAUAGCGUCUGUCUCUACGGGCAGAAGUCUGCCGCGGGAGAAGUAGUGGACAAGCUGCUAUGGGGUACCCGCGCAGUGAAGUGUUCGAGGCCUGUUCAGACAGAUGUGCAAGAUAGCCUUUUGUUAUUUUUCUAUAGGGACAGUAUUAGAAUGAGAGAUAGUAGUUUUAGUAAAAAUUGCCAUUUUAAGGGGGGACUGUUAUGGACAGAUGAAUUAAAAUAAAAUGGCUAUUUACUAAUGUCUAUUUAUUCUCUGUUCACUAUGUUAAAACUGGCUUCUAGAGUAAAUGUUCCCUUCCCCCCCCUUACAAUGUGGUCAGCUGCUGUUUACUAUGUAAAUUCCUCACAUCCUGCUAGCCUCCCCUUUGUGCCAGUUAACAGCUAUAUGCCAUAUAUAGCUAAAUGGAGGAUCAUUGGUUUAGAACUGAUAGAUACCACUCACUCCCCCUUUCUCCGUGUAUCUAAAAGUGUGUAAUGAUGACACUACAUUCUGUAGGGGGGUUUAAACAAGAGGCCCCCUUCUCUGUUAACCAAUUGGUGAAUGUAUACUGUAUGUUUAAACUGUGACGUAUUUUUGCUUUAAGAAGGAGCCCCCACUCCGGGCAAUAAAGCAUUCCUGGGUUUUUCACUGAUCAGAAACUUUGUCUCCGGUGUGAAUUACUUCUAGGGAAAGCGUGCACGCAUUAAUUAAUCAAUUUGGAAGGUGUAGAUAGACAAAUAAUCAAAGUUUUCUUUGAUCCAAAACAACCCAUGAUUCCCAUGGGGGGGAGAUUUACUAAGCNNNNNNNNNNNNNNNNNNNNNNNNNNNNNNNNNNNNNNNNNNNNNNNNNNNNNNNNNNNNNNNNNNNNNNNNNNNNNNNNNNNNNNNNNNNNNNNNNNNNCAUCUGAGGUAAUGAAAUGUAUAUUUAAAAAAAGACUUACGUGCUGGUCAUGCUCAAAGUUUUGCAAUUUAAAAUCUUGCAUCAGAAAGCAAAUAAAUUACGUAUAGAUUCAAAAACAGUAACACUUGUCUGCAUUUAACUUUAUACUGUCAUAGAUACUUGCUAAAUUUGACACAAGCAAUGCAUUAAAUUCCAUAUGUUUUACUGUUCUUGGUACAAACAUUUGUCUAUGACAAUAUAAACAUUUUCUUGUAUGGAAAGUGGUAGUAAAUACCAGCAGAUCUUUUUCACUUCUGUCUUUCUCAUAGUCAUCGAAUACUAGUUGUUUACUGCUUUAUUCAAUUUUUUUUCAAUGAAACUUUUAUGCAAUAUCUUAAUCACAAGAUAUGUCUGUAACCUUAACUUACACAGUCUUCCUCUUGAAUAAGCUGGACAAUGCGAUGAAGGACAUCUGCAGCAGAAGUGCUAGGAAACAAACAAAAUUGUAUGAGUUGCUAAGCUCACAACUGUUUUUGUAAAAAGUUAUACUAGCACCAACCUAUACAGCUAACAUUAAAAGAAAACAAGAUAUCCAAUUGAAAAAUUAUGUCAAAGUUUGUUGUUUGGAAUAUUUUAGAUGUCAUGUUUGAGGUUUCUACCAUAAAAAUACCAUAAAAAGAAUUAUUCCAUUUAUGCUAUUUUGACUUCAAAUUUGAAAUUCACUUAGAAUUUUCUCUUUAGUGAUUACACCUAAAGUGUUUUUUUGUAAAUGUUGUCUUAACGUGGGGCAGUCACCAUGGAAACCAGUAGAGCAAACAGGGACAUUAAAUUGAUGAGUCUUCCCAUUUUACAUAUUUGCACCACUUUUUAGAACAUGUAGAUGAAUAUCCCUCAUUAUAUUGGAAGAGUGGUAAAGAAACUGAAGAAGAAAAGUAAAGACUUGAGUUUUUUUUUUUUUUAAAUGUCUAGUUUGUCAGAAUAGCGUAAGUAGAAAAAUGCUGGAGAUGGGGGAACAGGUUGAAGUGUUAUGGACAGAUGAAUUAAAAUAAAAUGGCUAUUUACUAAUGUCUAUUUAUUCUCUGUUCACUAUGUUAAAACUGGCUUCUAGAGUAAAUAUUCCCUUCCCCCCCUACAAUGUGGUCAGCUGCUGUUUACUAUGUAAAUUCCUCACAUCCUGCUAGCCUCCCCUCCCCCACUACCUUUGUGCCAGUUAACAGCUAUAUGCCAUAUAUAGCUAAAUGGAGGAUCAUUGGUUUAGAACUGAUAGAUACCACUCACUCCCCCUCCCAUUGUGUAUCCAAAAGUCUGUAAUGAUGACACUACAUUCUGUAGGGGGGUUUAAACAAGAGCCCCCUUUCUCUGUUAACCAAUUGGUGAAUGUAUACUGUAUGUUUAAACUGUGACGUAUUUUUGCUUUAAGAAGGAGCCCCCACUCCGGGGAAUAAAGCAUUCCUGGGUUUUUCACUGAUCAGAAACGUUGUCUCCGGUGUGAAUUACUUCUAGGGAAAGCGUGCACGCAUUAAUUAAUCAAUUUGGAAGGUGUAGAUAGACAAAUAAUCAAAGUUUUCUUUGAUCCAAAACAAUUUGGUGGAGAAUGCGGGCAUUUAAGGGAUACGUUACUAAGGCAGCCGUCAGAUCCCAAGACAGGAGAGCAAAGGAUUCCCAGAGAUUGGAAACGGAGCCUGAUCACCUCUGCAUAUGGUAAAUGAGUUACUUACCUAUAUUUUCCUUUCUUUGGAUUUCUCUUGUUCUCCGUGCCUUCACAUUCGGCUUCCGGUGUUUAACGUCUUCAGACAGGUAAUAUAUAUAUGCCCGAAUGUCCCCUUUUAUAUAGAACCUGUCACUUGUCUAUCUACAGCCUGAGUCCUGAGUGUGAGUUUUAUGUGUGAAAGUGUCUGUUUGAGAAUCUGUUUUACUACUUGCUUAAUACUGUUAUAUAAUGCUGCCAAGUGUGGUUAAGCACUUGCAGGUUUAGCCAAGUUCGGGUUUGGUGGAAAACCCCUGGCUCUAUAUUUAUUUUAGCUAAGCUUCGGUAAAGAAGUUAUUGCGAGACUCGGUCAAGAGUUUAAAAAUAAAUAAAUAAAAUAAUUAAAAAAAUAAAUAAAUAAAAAAAAAAAAAUAUUUUAGCUAAGCUUUGGUAAAGAAGCUAGUGAGUGAUGUUUUGGCCUCGUUUGGUAAAAAACCUGGCGGUUCCUUUGUUUUAUUAAGACUCGGUCAAGAGUUUAAAUAGCUAAGCUUUGGUAAAGGAGCGGUUUAUGUGCUUGAGUGUUUCUGUGUGUGUGAUUUGAUUUAUUAUAAGCCGGCAUUUAUUUUAAGAACUUUGUGAUUUAAUUACAUCUGUAUUUUGUGCUUUUGUCUGUGUAUGUCUUGUUGGGUACCAUAUAUGUUAAUUGUAAUCUAUACAAUUUGUAUCGUUACUCUCCUAUUCUAUCUUUUGUCCUAAGGAGAGCUGUGCUUAGGCAAUCACAUGGUUAAAAAACUUUGUGCUUGCAAGUCUUCCUCCCUCCUCCCCCCUCCUUCUUUGUUGCUUUCUCUUGCUCUGACUGCAGGGGUGGGGUGAAUGGGUGAAAUGCUUGUAAACUCAGUGAGGAAUGUGAGGGAAACAAGGUAUAUUUGCUGGACGAAUAACCUAGUUAGGAACUUUGUGUAAUCUUGUAUAUGUUGUUAAGUAAGAGGUUAUUGGCAUGUUGGAAUAAGGAAAGUUAGAUUUUGUUGGAACAAAUGAAUUGUGGAAUUUAUAAAUGAUAUCGCAGAGAAAAGUAAAUUGCAGUUUGCAUUUAAUAGCAGCUAUUCAGAUGCUGUUUUGUGGCAAUCUUUAUACACACAAUGUGAAAUUGCCAAUAGUGAAAUUGACAAGAAAUUGUUUGUUAAUAAGAAAAAAAAAAAAAAAAAAAGAUCAGAAAUGUUAUGAAACUAGUCUGUACUUACAAUGCAUUGAUUUGUAAACGAAAUACAGGUAAAGAAAAUUUAGAAUCAGCA
RNAcentral lists this long non-coding RNA (9601 nucleotides) under Pelobates cultripes (western spadefoot toad). The record is from RNAcentral. Lineage: Eukaryota; Metazoa; Chordata; Amphibia; Anura; Pelobatidae.